RNAcentral lists this small RNA (104 nucleotides) under Chryseobacterium sp. FH1. RNAcentral's name for it is "Flavo-1 RNA". It matches the Rfam family "Flavo-1 RNA". Lineage: Bacteria; Pseudomonadati; Bacteroidota; Flavobacteriia; Flavobacteriales; Weeksellaceae. The record is from Rfam by way of RNAcentral.
CCAUAGCCCCGAUUGCAGCGGAAAUCCUUUUUUGCGUAACCCUCGAGUUCAACUAAAAGGAAAUCGUCUUGCAAAAAAGAUUGCAACGGAAAGCGGGAUUAAGC